CGCCAUUGGGGGCAGGCUACACAUGCAAGUCGAGCGGCAGCGGGGAAGUAGCUUGCUACUUUGCCGGCGAGCGGCGGACGGGUGAGUAAUGCUUGGGAACUUGCCUUUAGGAGGGGGAUAACCACGGGAAACUGUGGCUAAUACCGCAUAAUGUCUACGGACCAAAGCAGGGGCUCUUCGGACCUUGCACCUAGAGAUAGGCCCAAGUGAGAUUAGCUAGUUGGUGGGGUAAAGGCCCACCAAGGCGACGAUCUCUAGCUGUUCUGAGAGGAUGAUCAGCCACACUGGGACUGAGACACGGCCCAGACUCCUACGGGAGGCAGCAGUGGGGAAUAUUGCACAAUGGGGGAAACCCUGAUGCAGCCAUGCCGCGUGUGUGAAGAAGGCCUUCGGGUUGUAAAGCACUUUCAGUGGUGAGGAAGGAUGUAAGAUUAAUACUCUUGCAUAUUGACGUUAGCCACAGAAGAAGCACCGGCUAACUCCGUGCCAGCAGCCGCGGUAAU
This 503-nucleotide ribosomal RNA is filed under the name Pseudidiomarina andamanensis. RNAcentral's name for it is "bacterial SSU rRNA". It matches the Rfam family "Bacterial small subunit ribosomal RNA", at positions 37 to 524 of the family's 1533-position model. Lineage: Bacteria; Pseudomonadati; Pseudomonadota; Gammaproteobacteria; Alteromonadales; Idiomarinaceae. The record is from RNAcentral.